GGGUUUCCUUGAAGAAGCAGAGAAAUUGAUCAUUAAGAUGCCCUUUGAGCCUGAGGCUUCUGUUUGGCGAGCUUUGCUUGAUAGUUGUAGACUUCACUUGAAUACAAGCAUCGGAAAACGGGUUGCGAAGCGUAUACUGGUUAUGGAGCCACAGGAUCCAUCCACAUAUGUGCUUGUAUCGAAUCUGUAUUCUGCUUCUGGGAGGUGGCAUUGCUCAGAAUUGGUUAGAGCCAAAAUGAGAGAAAGAGGGUUUCAGAAGCACCCAUGUCGAAGUUGGAUUAUUCAUCAGGAGAAGGUUCAUUCAUUUUAUGUAAGAG
Molecule: unclassified non-coding RNA, 317 nt
Filed under: Hevea brasiliensis (rubber tree)
Lineage: Eukaryota; Viridiplantae; Streptophyta; Magnoliopsida; Malpighiales; Euphorbiaceae
Source: RNAcentral